CUUUUACCUUCUCUAGAAUGUUUAUUUGAGUCACAGUCUUCCACUCGCCCAAAUUCCAUGUUUGCCUCUAAAGAAGCCUGCCCAGUCCUGCGUAUUAUGUACCAGACAGUCAUUCUGAUCAUUGAGUCAAAUGUGUAGGUAAAUCCACCUGUCAUCCGGUGGCUGCUUUCGACCGGGGCUGAACAUGCAAUGCCAAAAGGAGAGGGCACAAUACUUUGGGAGGCAAACACACAGGAUUUCCUCCCCCCUGCCCUUCAUUAGAUUCUGCCACUGCCCAGGCUCAGUCCCUAGCAAUCACUGUGGGUGUAAUUUUAGAAAGAACUGGAAGAAGGGAAACCUUUUCUGCAACUUUCAGUUGGCAGAGUACCUCACCGUGUUUCUGCCUCCUGGCUUUUGACUUCUACCCCACAUGCCUUGGAAAGGAGAGAAAGGGAAACAGCUAGAAGAGGAGGAAGAGGAGGAAAAGGAAGGAACAGCUCAGGACUCUGUUCUCCAAAUCUGCUGAUGAUGAGAAGAAGCAGCUGCAGUAGCAGUUCACAGCACUGAGGGGUUGCUCUGAUCUCAUUUCUGGAACAACAGUUUACUUGCUAAGAGCAUGUCUCCUGAGUGACUGGGAUUCAGCCCUGGAGGAUAAGAAGGGGAGAAAAACAGCAGCACUGAGAAAGAUUAUUCUAGUCUCUAAUAUGGUUCUGCAGACCGGAAAGGACAGGCAGUUCCCUCUGUCCUCCAGUGUUCUCUCUGUGGCUCACCAUGGUCUCCACCUCAACUCACUGCAUAGGACCCCUAACUGGAAAUGUCCUUUGCAAUCCAGUUGCUCCUUGCUGCUGUGAACCACAUUGGUUAUGUGAAACAAGCCAGGAAUGGGAAGAAGAGGAAAGAAGGAGGACCUCAUCUCCAGAUUGUAUCACCCAUGGAAGAGAAAAGUCAGCAGGGACAGAAUGCUCCGCAUGAGGUUCUCCUCUCCCCACUGGAGAAGCUGGAGCAAAUAAGGUUCAUCAUGGGCAAAUUGACCCUGCCAUGGUGCCUGCAGAACGCUGUGCGAUAACUGCUUUUGGUUCAUACUGGGCUGCUUACGAGCUUUUGUGAUGGACCAGAACUCUCUAGCGCUGGUGCUGUGCGGACGCAGAACAAAAAGAUGAUUUCUGGCUCCAAGCAGUGGUAAUGUAAGCAUAAGAUGACAGAUUCAGGCAGUACAAAAUGACAGUAUGGUACAGGUUGUGAUUACAGAGCUCCACAGACCAACCGCAUUUCCACUAACCAUUUGCAGGGAUAGGGGAAGGGGAAGGCUGGGUAGUUUUCUUUAGCCAAAGUGUUGGCUUGGGCCAAAGUUUCAUUUGCACUUAAAACAGUGGAACUCAACUGUUACGCUGCUUAAUUAUUAUCCAGUAUUAUGCGUUUUCUGAGGUGGGGGCCUGCCUUUUUUUAUUAUUCCACCUGCUCCCUUUAAACCUCAA
Molecule: long non-coding RNA, 1454 nt
Filed under: Apteryx owenii (little spotted kiwi)
Lineage: Eukaryota; Metazoa; Chordata; Aves; Apterygiformes; Apterygidae
Description: lncRNA (ENSAOWG00000004629.1)
Source: RNAcentral